Molecule: ribosomal RNA, 465 nt
Filed under: Vreelandella stevensii
Lineage: Bacteria; Pseudomonadati; Pseudomonadota; Gammaproteobacteria; Oceanospirillales; Halomonadaceae
Description: partial 16S ribosomal RNA
Rfam family: Bacterial small subunit ribosomal RNA
Source: RNAcentral
CCUACGGGGGGCAGCAGUGGGGAAUAUUGGACAAUGGGCGAAAGCCUGAUCCAGCAAUGCCGCGUGUGUGAAGAAGGCCUUCGGGUUGUAAAGCACUUUCAGUGGGGAAGAAAGCCUUGGGGCUAAUACCCUCGAGGAAGGACAUCACCCACAGAAGAAGCACCGGCUAACUCCGUGCCAGCAGCCGCGGUAAUACGGAGGGUGCGAGCGUUAAUCGGAAUUACUGGGCGUAAAGCGCGCGUAGGCGGUCUGAUAAGCCGGUUGUGAAAGCCCCGGGCUCAACCUGGGAACGGCAUCCGGAACUGUCAGGCUAGAGUGCAGGAGAGGAAGGUAGAAUUCCCGGUGUAGCGGUGAAAUGCGUAGAGAUCGGGAGGAAUACCAGUGGCGAAGGCGGCCUUCUGGACUGACACUGACGCUGAGGUGCGAAAGCGUGGGUAGCAAACAGGAUUAGAUACCCGAGUAGUC